AGUGAACGCUGGCGGUAGGCCUAACACAUGCAAGUCGAACGGCAGCACAGUAGGAGCUUGCUCUUACGGGUGGCGAGUGGCGGACGGGUGAGGAAUACAUCGGAAUCUACUUUUUCGUGGGGGAUAACGUAGGGAAACUUACGCUAAUACCGCAUACGACCUACGGGUGAAAGCAGGGGAUCUUCGGACCUUGCGCGAUUGAAUGAGCCGAUGUCGGAUUAGCUAGUUGGCGGGGUAAAGGCCCACCAAGGCGACGAUCCGUAGCUGGUCUGAGAGGAUGAUCAGCCACACUGGAACUGAGACACGGUCCAGACUCCUACGGGAGGCAGCAGUGGGGAAUAUUGGACAAUGGGCGCAAGCCUGAUCCAGCCAUACCGCGUGGGUGAAGAAGGCCUUCGGGUUGUAAAGCCCUUUUGUUGGGAAAGAAAAGCAGCAGGUUAAUACCCCGCUGUUCUGACGGUACCCAAAGAAUAAGCAUCGGCUAACUUCGUG
Molecule: ribosomal RNA, 492 nt
Filed under: uncultured bacterium
Lineage: Bacteria
Description: partial 16S ribosomal RNA
Rfam family: Bacterial small subunit ribosomal RNA
Source: RNAcentral